UACGUAGGGGGCUAGCGUUGUCCGGAAUCAUUGGGCGUAAAGAGCGUGUAGGCGGCCCGGUAAGUCCGCUGUGAAAGUCGGGGGCUCAACCCUCGAAUGCCGGUGGAUACUGUCGGGCUAGAGUGCGGAAGAGGCGAGUGGAAUUCCUGGUGUAGCGGUGAAAUGCGCAGAUAUCAGGAGGAACACCGGUGGCGAAGGCGGGUCUCUGGGCCGAUACUGACGCUGAGGAGCGAAAGCGUGGGGAGCGAACAGG
RNAcentral lists this ribosomal RNA (253 nucleotides) under uncultured bacterium. Its description in RNAcentral is "partial 16S ribosomal RNA". It matches the Rfam family "Bacterial small subunit ribosomal RNA", at positions 524 to 776 of the family's 1533-position model. The record is from RNAcentral.